This 253-nucleotide ribosomal RNA is filed under the name uncultured prokaryote. RNAcentral describes it as "partial 16S ribosomal RNA". It matches the Rfam family "Bacterial small subunit ribosomal RNA", at positions 524 to 776 of the family's 1533-position model. The record is from RNAcentral.
UACAGAGGGUGCAAGCGUUGUUCGGAAUUAUUGGGCGUAAAGGGCGCGUAGGCGGUCCGGCAAGUCUCUAGUGAAAUCUCUGGGCUCAACCCAGAGCCUGCUGGGGAAACUGCCGGGCUGGAGUAUGGGAGAGGUGAGUGGAAUUCCUGGUGUAGCGGUGAAAUGCGUAGAUAUCAGGAGGAACACCGGUGGCGAAGGCGGGUCUCUGGGCCGAUACUGACGCUGAGGAGCGAAAGCAUGGGUAGCGAACAGG